CCACCCCGCCUCCAAUGUGGUUCAUUCUUGGGUUGUGAAUGACAGAAAAAUGCUGCAGUUUCAUCUAGCCAAGUCAUUGUAAUACAGGUGAUAUCUGCGGAUUCAAAAAGAUGGCCACCCCGCCUCCAAUGUGAUUCAUUCUUGGGUUGUGAAUGACAGAAAAAUGCUGCAGUUUCAUCUAGCCAAGUCAUUGUAAUACAGGUGAUAUCUGCGGAUUCAAAAAGGUAAAUCUAUACAGAUCACUAAUGAAAUCUCAACUGACACCAGGACCAGGCUCAGCAGGGACAUUUCCUUCAGACAUUCGUGUGCUCUCCAUCUUCUCAUGCCAUCCCGCACUGCUCCCAUGAGACCAGGACAUUUAUAAUUUUUUCAAAAUAAUGUUAUCCCAUUUUUCCCCCUUCCGUGGUUACCAGCAAAUGUGUUCUUAUAAUGUGCUUUUUUUUUUUCUUUCUAAUAGUGUGCUUCCACCACACUGCCUGCUAUUCCUGUAAUGUGUACCUCCACUGAUUGCACACCCUGCCAGCCGUGACCUACACAGUGCACCCCAGUUGUUUGCCUUGGAUGGUUCCUCCGCAGGCAGAAUGUUCUUCAUAUGGAUCUUCAGUACAGGGUAUAUCAUACUAUACACAAGUGUCAGUUUUCCCCAUAUAUGCAUUGGGGCCUUGUAUGGCUCACCACCAACAGUGUAACCUUCGUAGUGCACCAACAUGGCUGCCUCAUCUGGUUCACUUGUGGAUGGGAUGAAAAUUACAUGGACCUGACGGUUUUGUUGGGACGCUACUCUGAGCCUUAGAAUGCUGCAUUCACCCCAUUUUGUGUCAUCUCUUCUAGGGGUAGACUAAUCUACCCAGGGUAAUCCUACGCAGUGCACCCAAGAUGGCUGCCUCACCUGGUACCUUGUGAGGGUGAAAUACACAACCCAUGGAAGUUAUAACCCAAAAUGCCUACACCAAUCCUGCAUUAUGCUUACAGUACGCUUGAGGUUUUCCUUUUAUGUAUGUGUGGCUUGUCUAUUGCUGUAUUACUUAAAUCUUUUGUAUUAUGUGCAUUGGUUUUGAUGUCUGUAAAGCGCCUUGAGUCCUGUUUGAGAAAGUGUGCUAUCUAAUUAAAAUUAUUAUUAUUAUUAUAAUGGAGUCUGCAGUGUGAAGCUUCAUGCUGAUUCCUGGGUACCUCAGGGCUCCAGAUACACUCAGGGCAUCCGAUCCCCGGGGCAGCCAGCACAUACUGUAUGAUAAUGAUAACAUGGAUGUUUAUAUGUGCUAAGCGGUUCCCCCCUGCACUAUAUGAUCGGUGCUGCAGCCCAUGCAUUGCACCCACCGCUGACCAUAAUUAUUCAAUAAUCCUCUUGAUGAAGAAACGUGUGAUGCACAGUAUGACUGCCAUAGCAUUAACAUAUAAAUAGUUGUAUGUGAGAAAUAAGAUAUCAUUUUUAUGUUUUUCAAGGGUAACAAAUUACAAUAUGUAAAUUAGAUUAUGGGAGUGUUUUCUGGUUUGUGGGCAAUUACUGAGCCUGUGUCACCAUAAAAAGACUUUUUUACCAGUGCUCAGGAAUUUUCAGCAAUUAGGUGUCAUGCUAUCAUUUAAAUGAUAUGGGAGACCUUUUACCAACCAGCUGAAUUUGGUUAAGGGCUAUGGGGGUCAUUUCCGAGUUGUUCGCUCGUUAUUUUUUUCUCGCAACGGAGCGAUUAGUCGCUAAUGCGCAUGCGCAAUGUCCGCAGUGCGACUGCGCCAAGUAAAUUUGCUAUGCAGUUAGGUUUUUUACUCACGGCAUUACGAGGUUUUUUCUUCGUUCUGGUGAUCGUAAUGUGAUUGACAGGAAGUGGGUGUUUCUGGGCGGAAACUGGCCGUUUUAUGGGUGUGUGUGAAAAAACGCUACCGUUUCUGGAAAAAACGCGGGAGUGGCUGGAGAAACGGAGGAGUGUCUGGGCGAACGCUGGGUGUGUUUGUGACGUCAAACCAGGAACGAAACUGACUGAACUGAUCGCAGAUGCCGAGUAAGUCUGGAGCUACUCAGAAACUGCUAAGAAGUAUCUAUUCGCAAUUCUGCUAAUCUUUCGUUCGCAAUUUUAAGCUAAGCUAAGAUUCACUCCCAGUAGGCGGCGGCUUAGCGUGUGCAAAGCUGCUAAAAGCAGCUUGCGAGCGAACAACUCGGAAUGACCACCUAUAUGCGCACAGAAAUGCAUUUUAAUAAAAAUAUUGAAACAUGCAAAAUUGAAACCAGUAUAAAAGACAGUCCGGACAUUCUGUCACUAAUAUGGAAGAUAUAAAGCAGAUAUCCCACAAAGAAGUAGUAUUAUUAAAUAGCAAGUUACCUUUUAGGCAUGUAUCUUUUUUCUUAGCUAGUCUCUUACUUAUUAUCGCCUAUCAAAAUGUAUUUUUAAAAACAAGUAAGGUUGCCAGAUAGGGACUAGUAUGAAAUACCUACAAUCAAAAUCCCAACAACAAUUGACCGACAGUCAAAAUACCGACAAGGUCAAAUUACUGACAUUUAAAAGACCGACAAAGUCAAAAU
Pseudophryne corroboree (corroboree frog) is the source of this 2512-nucleotide long non-coding RNA. RefSeq lists it as uncharacterized. NCBI's taxonomy places the organism in Eukaryota, Metazoa, Chordata, Amphibia, Anura, Myobatrachidae. The record is from RefSeq and is a predicted model, not a curated record. The transcript has 3 exons.